UACGAAGGGGGCUAGCGUUGCUCGGAAUCACUGGGCGUAAAGCGCACGUAGGCGGCUUUUUAAGUCAGGGGUGAAAUCCUGGAGCUCAACUCCAGAACUGCCUUCGAAACUGACGAUCUUGAGUUCGGGAGAGGUGAGUGGAACUGCGAGUGUAGAGGUGAAAUUCGUAGAUAUUCGCAAGAACACCAGUGGCGAAGGCGGCUCACUGGCCCGAUACUGACGCUGAGGUGCGAAAGCGUGGGGAGCAAACAGG
This 253-nucleotide ribosomal RNA is filed under the name uncultured bacterium. RNAcentral's name for it is "partial 16S ribosomal RNA". It matches the Rfam family "Bacterial small subunit ribosomal RNA", at positions 524 to 776 of the family's 1533-position model. The record is from RNAcentral.